This 107-nucleotide small nuclear RNA is filed under the name Macaca nemestrina (pig-tailed macaque). Lineage: Eukaryota; Metazoa; Chordata; Mammalia; Primates; Cercopithecidae. The record is from RNAcentral.
GCACUGGCUUUGGCAGCAUAUACACUAAAUUUGGAAUGAUACAGAGAACAUUAGCAUGGCCCUUGUGCAAGGAUGACACACAAAUUCAUAAAGCAUUCCAUAUUUUU